Drosophila sulfurigaster albostrigata is the source of this 1969-nucleotide long non-coding RNA. RefSeq lists it as uncharacterized. The record is from RefSeq and is a predicted model, not a curated record. The transcript has 3 exons. Lineage: Eukaryota; Metazoa; Arthropoda; Insecta; Diptera; Drosophilidae.
AAAAAUUCAUCGAGCUUUUUGACAGCACAACAUUAAAUUGUUUGCAUAGUUGCAUGACAUUGCUCAGCGAAUACUUGGAAAUAUAAUAAAAUCAAUUGUGAUUUAUAGAAAUGCGCAGACAGUUACUUACUCAACUUAAGGAACAGGAAGAGCUGCAUUUGCAAGAAGUGAAUGAGCUUCGAAAACAGCUGGAGGCAAAAGAUGAUACAUAUAUGCCAUAAGUUGGAGCAAGAUAUUUUCCGCGUGUGUGAAAAUCCAGAAUACAUUCAAAUGCGACAGCAAUUGCAGGACACUAUGAAAUGUCAAGAAGAAAUGCAUUUAAGAGAAAUAAAUGAGAUGCGCCAGAAGCUGGAUCUUGGAGAAAACAUAUGCAUGGAGAAGGAGCAGCAAAUAAAGGUUCUCGAGGAGCGUCUGGAAUUGAGUAGUUCUUGUGCCAUAUGCAUGGAUACUUUCAAUACUUCCAAUCAUCGCUUGGUUGCAUUGUCGUGUGGUCAUCUUUUCGGUGAUCCAUGCGUUCGAGAAUGUUUGCGCAGAAAUCCUUUAUGUCCAGAAUGUCGCGAUAUUGUUUCAGUAAAUGAUAUACGCUAUUUGUUUCCACGUUAUUUGUAAUUUCUUAAAUCAACCUGAAUAAUUAAUACCUAUUUGUGUUGAAAAAUUUGAAUAACCAUAUUUUCUCUUGCCUCAAAAGAGGAUUCAACCAAUUUUUUAUUUUUACUAUAGAACAUUUAAUUGUCUUUUAAUAUAUGGAGGGUUUUGUUUUUCCUUACUAAUCUUAACGACAGCUGAAAGCGCAGCAAAAUCCAAAGUUUAGUUGAACAUUCUGCAAAUGUUUUAUACUAACAAAUCAUACCGAAGUCAACAAUUAUGUACAUAUGUGCACAGAAAAUAAGCUAAAAAUGCUAUAUACAUACUACGAUACAGUUGAAGAGCCGAUUCAACAGAAGCUGCGAUUGCAAUGGAACAAAACAAUGGUCAUUGAAUGCGCCGGAUGCAGUUGCAAGUUGCAAAAUUGUUGCGGCGAGUGCCAUUUGUUCAAAUUGCAUUGAGAACGGGCAAAAUAAAUGCCGAAAAUACAAUUAUGGCCGCUGAUCACAACACGAUCUGCAAUAGAAAAUGCAACCACCAAAGAAAGCAAAUCAAUGGCUGCGUUAAACUGUAAUCGGCAUUCCUCAAUAGAGUUGGUUUAGCUCAUUCUAAUGCAAACAUCGACAUGGCUACAAGAAGCAGACAACACAGUCACCUUUGGCAAUGGCUUUGGUUGCUGUUGCUGUUGCUGCUGCUGCUGCCAAUUGAUGGUUAUUGCCAAUUUGUAUGCGACUGUUGUGGCGGCAUUGAAUACACUACACAGAACACACCAGCAUAUCAUUUUCAGGUCUAGGAAGUGGCAGCAACACACAACGGCAAACAAUAACAGAUGCUGGCGAUAAUAGCGAUAAUAAUUGUCAUUAUCUUUUCAGCUCAAAAUCAGCCACAAGGCCCAUUCAAGGCACAAGCUAUACACAGCUCCAUCUCCGACUCCAUCCCCAUCUCCAGCCGCAGUGAAUUCCCAAUGCCGUUGUCUAACUAUGAAAAUCCAUACAAUUGCCCCGUUUGCCACACUUUCCCAGACCCGCACAAUGGACCCGGAGAGCUUAUAGAUACUUUGUUUUUUUUUUUCUUUUUAUCAUAGAAAUAGCCAAAACGUUUCACAGUGUCCAGUUUGCAUACAUUUUUGGGUAAAGCUAGGCAAUAAAAUUUACAAAAAUAUGUGUUGAAAACAACAACUUUUUGCCAUUUGCAUAUCAAGCAAAUUGGGGCGCCCCCAAAACAAAAACGAUGAAGAAAAUAAUGUACAGACAUAUUAUAAGAAAGAAAAAAAAAAAGACCAACAAGCACUCAGGGUCCAAAUGGAGUCAUAAAACUUGAUAAAUGCUACACAUUUGCUGAACUUUUCCCUAAAUGAUAAUGCUCUCAGCGACGCCUCACAUCU